RNAcentral lists this long non-coding RNA (206 nucleotides) under Elaeis guineensis (African oil palm). RNAcentral's name for it is "long non-coding RNA (EGUI_LNC020524)". Lineage: Eukaryota; Viridiplantae; Streptophyta; Magnoliopsida; Arecales; Arecaceae. The record is from RNAcentral.
GUACCAAAAUUCAACCUAAUCCUAUCCAACAACUGCAUAAAAAUUGGAAUAAUUAUGAUAAGAUAAUCAAUACUGAUUAAAUUAAGCUAUAUCUUUAUCACAUAACAUAUUAUUAUUAUUAUUAUUAUUAUUUUUUUUUUAACCAACGGCGAUGGGAGCACACACCGCGUAAAGUGAGACGCCACCACGUGCUGUUCCCGGUCCCC